UCAGGCCUAACACAUGCAAGUCGAACGAGAAAGCGGGGGCAACUCCGCGAGUACAGUGGCGCACGGGUGAGUAACACGUGACUAACCUGCCCUUAAGUGGGGGAUAACCUCGGGAAACCGGGGCUAAUACCGCAUAACCUCGUGAGGUGAAAUUCCUUGCGAGCAAAGGAGCAAUUCGCUUUUGGAGGGGGUCGCGGCUGAUUAGGUAGUUGGCGGGGUAAUGGCCCACCAAGCCGAUGAUCAGUAUCCGGCCUGAGAGGGCGCACGGACACACUGGAACUGAAACACGGUCCAGACUCCUACGGGAGGCAGCAGUGGGGAAUUUUAAGGAAUGGGGGAAACCCUGACGCAGCAA
Molecule: ribosomal RNA, 355 nt
Filed under: uncultured bacterium
Lineage: Bacteria
Description: bacterial SSU rRNA
Rfam family: Bacterial small subunit ribosomal RNA
Source: RNAcentral